This 164-nucleotide ribosomal RNA is filed under the name uncultured bacterium. RNAcentral's name for it is "partial 16S rRNA". It matches the Rfam family "Bacterial small subunit ribosomal RNA", at positions 355 to 511 of the family's 1533-position model. The record is from RNAcentral.
UAGGGAAUCUUCCACAAUGGGCGAAAGCCUGAUGGAGCAACGCCGCGUGUGUGAUGAAGGGUUUCGGCUCGUAAAACACUGUUGUAAGAGAAGAAUGACAUUGAGAGUAACUGUUCAAUGCGUGACGGUAUCUUACCAGAAAGGAACGGCUAAAUACGUGCCUG